GUUUGAUCCUGGCUCAGGACGAACGCUGGCGGCGUGCUCAACACAUGCAAGUCGAACGGAGAACUUAUUUCGGUAAGUUCUUAGUGGCGAACGGGUGAGUAACGCGUGGGCAACCUGCCCUCCAGUUGGGGACAACAUUCCGAAAGGGAUGCUAAUACCGAAUGUGCUCCCUCCUCCGCAUGGAGGAGGGAGGAAAGAUGGCCUCUGCUUGCAAGCUAUCGCUGGAAGAUGGGCCCGCGUCUGAUUAGCUAGUUGGUGGGGUAACGGCUCACCAAGGCGAUGAUCAGUAGCCGGUCUGAGAGGAUGAACGGCCACAUUGGGACUGAGACACGGCCCAAACUCCUACGGGAGGCAGCAGUGGGGAAUCUUCCGCAAUGGACGAAAGUCUGACGGAGCAACGCCGCGUGAGUGAUGAAGGUCUUCGGAUUGUAAAACUCUGUUGUUAGGGACGAAAGCACCGUGUUCGAACAGGUCAUGGUGUUGACGGUACCUAACGAGGAAGCCACGGCUAACUACGUGCCAGCAGCCGCGGUAAUACGUAGGUGGCAAGCGUUGUCCGGAAUUAUUGGGCGUAAAGAGCAUGUAGGCGGGCUUUUAAGUCUGACGUGAAAAUGCGGGGCUUAACCCCGUAUGGCGUUGGAUACUGGAAGUCUGAGUGCAG
This 661-nucleotide ribosomal RNA is filed under the name uncultured bacterium. Its description in RNAcentral is "bacterial SSU rRNA". It matches the Rfam family "Bacterial small subunit ribosomal RNA", at positions 11 to 650 of the family's 1533-position model. The record is from RNAcentral.